GUCCACGCCCUAAACGAUGUCAACUAGGUGUUGGGAGGGUAAAACCUUUUAGUACCGGAGCUAACGCGUGAAGUUGACCGCCUGGGGAGUACGGCCGCAAGGUUAAAACUCAAAGGAAUUGACGGGGACCCGCACAAGCGGUGGAUGAUGUGGAUUAAUUCGAUGCAACGCGAAAACCUUACCUACCCUUGACAUGUCCAGGAGUCUUGAGAGAUUGAGAUGUGCCCGAAAGGGAACUGGAACACAGGUGCUGCAUGGCUGUCGU
This 265-nucleotide ribosomal RNA is filed under the name uncultured bacterium. RNAcentral describes it as "partial 16S ribosomal RNA". It matches the Rfam family "Bacterial small subunit ribosomal RNA", at positions 793 to 1055 of the family's 1533-position model. The record is from RNAcentral.